This is an RNA transcript of Nymphaea colorata (pocket water lily), 1991 nucleotides long. RefSeq lists it as uncharacterized. NCBI's taxonomy places the organism in Eukaryota, Viridiplantae, Streptophyta, Magnoliopsida, Nymphaeales, Nymphaeaceae. The transcript is spliced from 6 exons. The record is from RefSeq and is a predicted model, not a curated record.
UGCCUUCUUUCCAUUGUUCAGUUUCGGCCAUGGUUGGACAAUUUAUCUUGAAGGAAUAUUCACGUUACGACGCCGAAGAAAAUGAGUUGUUGGUAGUAACUUUAGUCUGUUCUUUUACCUCUCACCAUUGUUCUGCUUCUCCGACUCUUCCUGCGAGGACGAAGAAGAGCUUCGUGCAAACUUCGAGGCCAUUGAAGGCUUCAUUAUUCUCGACGUUUGCAGUGUAUCGAUAUGUCAAUCUUCAGAUUUUCAGUUUCGUAAACUUUCAUUGCGAUCUUUUCUCUUUCGGCUUGUGCAAUGGGGUGUGACGAGCAAAGGAGGGUGGAAAUAAGGAGCGAUUCUUAUAUGACGAAGAUGGUCAGCUUCUUCUAGAGGACGGUUCCUAUCAUCUUGCACAACGAUAACGGGCCUUCUCCCUUGCUCGCCAUCUAAAUCAUGUCAUCUUGUCGGUGAAUGGUUACUGGAUGUAAAGAGCAAUGCGAAGAACAGAAAUGAUGGUUAUGUGAAAAAUCAAUUACAGAGCAUUUCGGAUGCAAUCGACCUGGUCCCUUCUCUUGCCACUGGAAUAAAUGUCAAUGUCCGUUUCAGGAACAUAAAUGAUUUUGAAUCUGCACCAGUCUGCGUCAUACUUGAUCUUUUGGAUAUUGGCCUUGUUCACGGCUGGGUAGUUGAUCCUCGGGAUACUGAUGCAGCCACUGCAAAAGGAUCAAGCUCCUAUAGCACCCUUCUGGAGAAAAUUGUCUCUUGAAGCAAGCAAAGGAGGAGAUGAUAGACAUCCCGAGGAGACUUAUGUAGACUUUGUUGCUGCAACAACAGCAGCUUUAGGAGAUCCUUCGAAAAUCCUCCUAAUUGUCAUCCCUGUUCAUCAAAACAGAAGGGUGACAGAGAAAAAGUGGAACAGCUUAUGAAGGUACAAGUGAAGGUUCAUGUAUAUUAAGUUCUGAAAUUCCAGGAAUGUCCAAAAUGGUAGAAGAGCAUAACAAUGAUAAACGUGGUAGGCCCUUUGAGCCGGGAGGAAGUAAACAUGAGCACUGCACCACAUUACCUGCCUCUGUUGGUAGUGUUUUUUAGGCCAGUGUUUCAUUGCCUAAGAAAGCAUAUGACAACUCUAUGGAGAAGGGAUUAGUUAAACGAUCCGAAGAAAAUGUUUUAAGUAAUCAAGUUGAAGAAUAACGUUUCUCUGAUGGAUCAGAUGUCCUUUCUUUGGGCAAUAUCUAUGAGAGUUGCACAUAUGGCUUGAAAAGGGAUCAAGAGUUUCUGCAACACCUGCUACUUAUUAAUCAUAUAUGGGAACCACCAUCUGCCCCUUGUUCAGCAAGGACCGUAGGCAAGCCCAACGGAAGGCACAUUUGAAACGACUCGUGUCUACCUGAGAUUUGAGAAUCUGGUUAUCAACAUCCAGGAACAGUUCUUUUGGAUUGUUUCCAUGCAUGCACCCGUAGGUCAGAUAUGAGGAUCCUUUUGGAGUUUGUUGCAGACCAUAACAUUGGACACAAACUAACUUAACCUGAAGAUGAUAAUUGCUAUUCUUUAAUGUUCUGUGUUCAAGUAGAUUAUGUUUUGCUGCUGAUCACCAAACAAGUGAGGCACAUAAAGCAUUGUCAAAUAUGUUGAGCAAAGUAAUAUUAUGUCAUUAAGAACUAAUUGGAACCUUAAUGUGGACGAAAUCACACUACCAAGGCUGCUUCAUCUUGUUGGUGAAUGGUUGCUGAAUGUAAAGAGCAAUGCCAAGGUAGUCUUGUUGGUGAAACAAAUCUCUACCGAACUUGCUUGAUCUUCACUCAGACGAAAAGGUAAGUUUUGUAGAUCAGAAUCACUUUGGUUUUCACCCUCUCUCAAUUGAUCAGCCAAAUCUCCAUGAGUUCAGCUGCUACGAGGAGUCUUCUUGAAGGUUUCCCUCAUUCGCUGGGCAGGAGGUCAAAAGGGUUCGCAGUAAAACACAGAAAUGCUUCAAGCGGUUCGCGGGGAAAAAUAAAACGGGCCGGGGGCAA